Molecule: transfer RNA, 75 nt
Filed under: Actinocatenispora rupis
Lineage: Bacteria; Bacillati; Actinomycetota; Actinomycetes; Micromonosporales; Micromonosporaceae
Description: tRNA-Leu
Rfam family: tRNA
About the family: Transfer RNA (tRNA) molecules are approximately 80 nucleotides in length. Their secondary structure includes four short double-helical elements and three loops (D, anti-codon, and T loops).
Source: RNAcentral
GCCCUCGUAGCCCAACGGGUAGAGGCAGCAGGCCAAGAACCUGCGCAGUGCGCGUUCGAAUCGCGCCGGGGGCAC